RNAcentral lists this non-coding RNA (117 nucleotides) under Deltaproteobacteria bacterium. RNAcentral's name for it is "MoCo sequence". It matches the Rfam family "Molybdenum/Tungsten riboswitch aptamer (Moco RNA motif)". The record is from RNAcentral. Lineage: Bacteria; Pseudomonadati; Myxococcota; Myxococcia.
AACAUGAAAACCUCCGAGCCCACGCUCCUGGAGCCAACGGCAUGGUCGUGGGCCGACAGGGUUUAUCUGGAAACGGAUGAGCCUCCCAUUCUGGAAAGGAGGUCAUUGAUGUAGGUC